CUUUAAUGAAUUUCCUUGGUUGUGUAACUUUCUCAUCUAAUUAAAUGUUCUUUUUUUUCUGCCUCGCUGCACGAUGGUUGUGCAGAGCUGGUUGUGAUCUAGUUUCUCACAGUUUUAUCUCCGCCGUCUGCCAUUAAACUGGGUUGUUCGUACCUUUCAGUCAAUAUUGACUCUGGUUGAGCACUUACAGUAGUUGAUGCAACAAUCUUUUUUAUUUUUUCUUAACUCUCACUCAUCUGUUCGCAGUUUCCCAAGGUCACAUGUGACAUCUCCAGCCACGCAGUAGACAAGUAACUCUUCCCUGCUCCACAUGAAGCGUGAUUCGUGCACAUUAAUCUGCAUUUAACUUUAGCGUUGAGGCCGAUAGGGGAAAGAAACGGUGGUCGUAGUGUGUGUGUGAGGGGGGGGGGUUGCAUUCCAAUACGUCUGUCUGCCAACUGCAACCAGUGUCUGGAUGCAAUCUGCUUACUUUCAGCGUGUGAUUACAUCUAGCUGCGGAACAUGUGCAAAUAAGCGCAAGUUUGUUUUUUAUCUUUUCUCACUCCGUUUCCUUGCUCCCGUGCAGCUCGAGGAUCCACCCCGGUCUGCAAACAUCGAUAACGAGGCUGCGGCAAGACUUUUUCUUUCUCACCUUGAUCUCUUUAGAAGACGCAGUGUUUUAGAACAAAUACCAGCAGCAGUGAGCUGGAGGGCGUGGAGGUCAAGUCAUUAUGGUCUGAGACCUCGCGUGUUCCUUCCUGAGACCCCGAACACGUCCCUCCACAGCAGCGGCUUCCUCUGCCCAUGAUGUCAUGGGUUCCGGACAAAGGGAAGCAGAAAGAGCUGGAAAACACUGGCUGGAGAGUUCAUACACGCAGGGAAAAUGACACAAUGAGUGCUGGUGAUGAUGCUUUAAUGAGACAAAAAGGUGUGUGUUUUCAAGUCUCCGGCCACGUCCUCUUUCCUAAAACCAUUUCCUCUAAUUUUCUCGGAUUUGUCGAAGGCCAAUGUUUUUGUUUUCCAGCUCCAGCUGCACAGAGGACAACUGUUCGGCCUCUUUUCUUUUCUCAUGAAAGCAGCCGCUGCGAAAACAAAACGUCUCCCCCCGAGGAACCAGACUUCCCCAAGCCCCUCGCAAAGUCCCAUGAUCUCUGUGAUCUAAUAAGUUGGCUGUUUUAUUUGCAAGAUGGUGGUGCACAGAGGUGCUGCAGGUUCUCAAGCUCCUGUAUUUGGAGGCCGUUUAGUUUUUAUUCUUCUUUUUAUUGUGCUGUUUUCUCAACUUUCCUUCUUUCUUAGGAACAAAAGCACAAUAAACCUUUGAAAUCUA
Molecule: long non-coding RNA, 1306 nt
Organism: Mugil cephalus (flathead mullet)
Lineage: Eukaryota; Metazoa; Chordata; Actinopteri; Mugiliformes; Mugilidae
Exons: 2
Source: RefSeq, a predicted model, not a curated record